This 895-nucleotide ribosomal RNA is filed under the name Labyrinthula sp. Laby31. RNAcentral's name for it is "eukaryotic LSU rRNA". The stretch from base 332 to 895 matches the Rfam family "Eukaryotic large subunit ribosomal RNA", at positions 1 to 591 of the family's 3401-position model. Lineage: Eukaryota; Bigyra; Labyrinthulida; Labyrinthulaceae. The record is from RNAcentral.
UUUCUAUCAUCAGUCAACCGUAAAAAUGUGCUGUCACUUUGUGACGGCGUCCUUAAACCUAACUUUAAAUUUUCACAACUUACAGCGAUGGAUGACUUGACUCUUACAUCGAUGAGGAACACAGCGAACUGUGAUACAUUCGGUGAGUUGCGGAGUUUGUGAACCCUCAUUUUCUAACGCACAUUGCGCAACUCUUCGGAGUUGCAUUGUUCAUUGAGUGUGAUUUUUUCAGGAUUAACAUCUUGUGCAAGGGCGUAUGCGUGCAAACGUGUUGCCUUAGGAAUUUACAACUCGUCAUUUCGAAAGUCUCUUUGGAAACGACACUACACCUCUUACCUCAAUGAACAAAGACUACCCCCUGAAUUUAAGCAUAUAAUUAAGGGGAGGAAAAGAAACUAACAAGUAUUUUCUCAGUAACGGCGAGUGAACAGAAAAAAGCCCAGAUUUGAAAUCCGAAAGGAAUUGUAAUCUUAGAAGCAUUGGUCUCUAACACGCUACUCUACUUUCUCUGGAAUGGGAAACUGCUAAGGGUGAAAGUCCCUAGAGAGUAGUACGUUAGUUUACACCAUUACUUCAACGAGUCGAGUUGCUUGGGACUGCAUCUCUAAACGGAGGUAAACUCCUUCGAAGGCUAAAUAUUAGUAAGAGAUCAAUAGCAAACAAGUACCGUGAGGGAAAGUUGAAAAGCACUUUGAAAAGAGAGUGAAAUAGUACCUGAAAUCGCUGUAAGGUAAAGGAUCCCCUGUGCAAAGCUGUUCAUAUGUAUUUUGUAAUACGUUUACAAUUGAAUAUGUAGGCUACUCCAGGUUCAUGUUUACGUGACAAUUGGCUAUGGAUUUUGGUAGAAUACUUGUAUUCGAAUAAAUCCAUUUGCUUGAUCGUAAGUAUGUAAUGU